UGGCUCACGCAUCGAUGAAGAACGCAGCGAAAUGCGAUAAGUAAUGUGAAUUGCAGAUUUCAGUGAAUCAUCGAAUCUUUGAACGCACCUUGCACCUUCUGGUAUUCCGGAAGGUACAUCUGUUUGAGUGUCAUUAACUUCUCAACCAAAAAAACUUGUUUGCUGGUUGGAUAUGAGAGUUGUGGGUUGUAAGACCGACUCCCUUGAAAAAUAUUAGCUAGGAAUUAGUACAUAAUCUAAGUGCUUUAAUGCUUGAAGACCUCCUGGUGAGAUAAUUGUCUACGCCAUUGGUUUAGUUAGGGCACAUAAUUGGAUUUUGGAAUGUAUUCUUGCUUCAAACUGUCUUAUUCGACUAGUCUGUUAUGGACUAUUGACUAUUGUGACCUCAAAUCAGAUGGGACUACCCGCUGA
RNAcentral lists this unclassified non-coding RNA (411 nucleotides) under uncultured fungus. Its description in RNAcentral is "partial contains 5.8S ribosomal RNA and internal transcribed spacer 2". The stretch from base 1 to 133 matches the Rfam family "5.8S ribosomal RNA", at positions 22 to 154 of the family's 154-position model. The record is from RNAcentral. Lineage: Eukaryota; Fungi.